Long non-coding RNA from Gallus gallus (chicken), 319 nucleotides. RefSeq lists it as uncharacterized. NCBI's taxonomy places the organism in Eukaryota, Metazoa, Chordata, Aves, Galliformes, Phasianidae. The transcript is spliced from 3 exons. The record is from RefSeq and is a predicted model, not a curated record.
GGCAUGCCGAGUGAUGAAGAACUGGCUCUGACAGAGGUGACUGAAUUCCAGAAGAGCAAAGAUAACGUUCUAGAAGAGAGUAAGAAAAUGUUUGAAGAUGUCCGUGCAGAUUGUUGUGACAUCAGAGAAAUCCUGUUGAAAUUCCAGGAGCGGAAAGAGAAGUUUCCCGACCCAUACUGCGAUGCUUACAUCGGUUUUUGCCUGCCUAAGCUUUUAAAUCCAUUAGUCAGAGUUCAGUUAAUAAAUUGGAGUCCCCUUGAGAAUUCUACAGACCUGAAAGAGAUGCCCUGGUUCAGAGCUGUAGAAGGAUUCAGCGAUG